UUCUGUCAGUGUGAAUGUAUGACAGUCCAGCGCGUGGAGUGUGCUUUCUCUACUCUAUCCAUACACGCGAAUCCUGCUGAAAUCCAUAAGACCGACCUGUGGACGCUUUUAGCCAUGGUCUUUAUACUCCAUCCCUGAAUGAGAUGAACUCCCACCUGCUGCAGUUUCUAAAGGUACUCUGAGAGCGUCAGCCUGCCGUUUCGGUAA
Paramisgurnus dabryanus is the source of this 207-nucleotide long non-coding RNA. RefSeq lists it as uncharacterized. Lineage: Eukaryota; Metazoa; Chordata; Actinopteri; Cypriniformes; Cobitidae. The record is from RefSeq and is a predicted model, not a curated record.